Long non-coding RNA from Rhopalosiphum padi (bird cherry-oat aphid), 942 nucleotides. RefSeq lists it as uncharacterized. NCBI's taxonomy places the organism in Eukaryota, Metazoa, Arthropoda, Insecta, Hemiptera, Aphididae. The transcript is spliced from 4 exons. The record is from RefSeq and is a predicted model, not a curated record.
UCGCAUUUUCCAUAUUAUCAACACAGAAUAUUCAAAAGAUGUUCUGUGUUAUUAAAUAGAUUUAAUCUAUGUCACUAGUCAGUCACAGAAGUUGUAAAUUGUUGAAAUUCGUGUGAACCGUAUUCUGUAUUUCUGUAGUACCUGCCUAGAGUUUUUAUUUAAAAUUUGUCAAUUUGUCCAUUUUUGAAUGAUGGAAAACUUUAAAAGGAAGCUUGAACGCAAUUUUGAGUACUCCGAGAAGUCAGUCCCUUUGGAUAUUGUUACUGUACACUUCAGUGUUACUGAAUCAUCUGAAUCAAAGAAUAUUGAUGGAACGACUGUAAAAAAAAAAAACACCAAGUGGCUAAUAAUUGCUAACUAUUCAUCGUAAAAUCAAUAAUGCGGCUUGAAAAUGCUGUUGGAAAAUCUCUAAACUUGGCCAGUUGGAAAUUUCGGCAACUGCUAUGCAAACAAAUAAUGACGAUACUACAGAUACUAAUGCGUUUGAAGAAUGUAUUGUGUAUGAAGUUGUGAUUAUUCGUAAGACUAUUGAAAAAAAUGAUAUUUUAUUACAAAAUAAUGAUUGAUUUGAAUACAACCCUACAAUGAUGAAGAUUUAAACGUCUGAUGUUCCUCGCCAACCUCCUUUGCCAUUACCCUUCAUUUUAGUUCUUCGACAUGAUACUAAUAUGCCAGAAAACAUUUAAUCCACUGCUGCAUCAAUUCCUACCAAUAAGGUCUGAGAAGGUUUAUCAAGAAAUACUUUUGGAACAGCAUUGGGUUUGAGUUUCAAAUUCUAUCUACAUCCCAGUGUGUCAACAUUAUACAAAGUUAAAAUAUGAGCAUUGCAUAUUGAACUAGAAUAUUCUAGUCAAUUGAUAGCUGAAAACCAUUGUUGAAUACAAGAAUCAUUUUUCAAAGGAAACCUAAAAUAAAAUUACAUACUAUUGGAUUAAAUUAUAA